This 435-nucleotide long non-coding RNA is filed under the name Trifolium pratense (red clover). Its description in RNAcentral is "long non-coding RNA (TPRA_LNC005888)". Lineage: Eukaryota; Viridiplantae; Streptophyta; Magnoliopsida; Fabales; Fabaceae. The record is from RNAcentral.
AUUAGGCACUUGUAACAUGAAUUUAAGGUAUCCUAACAUGCAAUUAGGUGUUUAUAACCAUGAUUAAUUGUAUUGUGAUGAUAGUUGUUGAUUAUAUGUGUAGAAUAUAAUUGUUGUUGAUUGUGUUGAUGAUGUUUGUUAAAAUGUCAAAGAAGUAUAUUAAGGUGUUAAUUAACUUAAUAAAGAAGUAUAUCGAAUUAUGUUAUUCGAUAAAGAAGGAUAUUAAGGUAUAGUGUUAUCUUAAUCAAGAAGUAAUGUUGGAUAGUGUUCCACAUUAGUAAAUGAAGAGCUUAAUGCUAUUGAUUGUGAGUGAAUUCAUGAAAUACAUACAUGCAUUCAUGAAUAUAUGUGAUAUUGGAUAUUCCAAUAAAGAAGGAUAUCGGGUUAUAUUUAUCCGAUAAAGAAGGAUAUUAGAGGUGAGAUACUCUAAUAAAG